UCUAUUUCUUCAUUUUCAACUCUCCCACAGAGCUAUUUUUCUUCUUCCAUGGAGCAAACCCCACCCCAUCUUCUUCUUCUUCUUCUUCCAGUGAAGUUUUUGAUUGAGAAUUAAAAGGGAUCUUCUUAGUUGUUAUGUAAGAACUAAGAAUCUCCUUUUUCGUUCAUCUUUCUGGAUCAAACCCCUAUUUUUCAGUUCAUCUUUCUAGGUCAAAUUCCAUAUCUUCAAUUUUCUUUUCUCUCAUCCAUGUCGAAAAACAAAUGUUCUAUCCUGAUUUAAGAUUCUGUGUCUGAAUCAUCCAUUGGAGCUGCUACGGGUGUUAAUUUAAAUUUGCAAGUUGUAUGCUGGUCAGGUAAUCUUACAUAAAGAUUAUGCUGGCCAAGUCCAUUCUUUGGCCAUAGAGGCUGCACCAACCACAGACCUGAAUGGAGAUAAUGUUCCUAUUAUCUCGAGGAAUAUUGCAUAAAAGUGCGUGGGGAAAUUUCGAUGAAAUCAUGUACAUAAACAACCAUACAGCUUUUUAAGCUUAAUGGGUGGACUGAUCACUGAUUCUGUGUCGGAAUCAUCGAAUGGAGCUGCUACGGGUGUUAAUUCAAUUCCAGCACGUUUCGUUUGGAUUGGUGGAUCUUUUACAAGUAAUUUCAGGGUGGGUCGACAAGAUAUCAUCUAAGCUUGAGGUGGCUACAAUCUACAAGUAUGAACUCAUAUAACCGAAUAUAGUAUCCCCAUCUCAAUUUAGUUUAUGUCAAUUUCACAAUUUUCAGUUUUAAAUUUGGUAAACUGAUAAGUUAGGGUUCCAAAUUUCAGAGUUACAGUUUGUGGUUUUUCCUGAAUCUGUCUUUAAUCUCAAAUUGAUGACUAAGAUAUUGUUCACAACUCGGUUCUGAAGUGCUAUUGAGUUGAAUAUCUCAGUGACUUGAAAAUCUAGCUUAAUUGAGAGAUGUGUAAUUGCCAAUAAAUCCUCUGCUUAAUUGUAGAUGGUCUUUGAAUGAAAAGGAAAUAAGGCAGUUAUGCUCAUACCUUCAUGAUUUGAAGAAGGCUUCUGCUAAGGAUUUGUGUAAGAGUGUUUAUGCCAAUUAUAUAGCUUUUAUACAAUAGAUGGCGACUCUACGAGACAUAGGGAUUGCAGCGGGUAUCAAUAUCAUAUAUGCCUUUGCUUGCUUUGUCAACCUUUCAAUGAUAGAGUAUACUUUCCCAAAUGGUAUCUCAAGGGUCUAAGAAGCAGUCCGGCAGGCUCAGGAGCAUUAACCAAGUUCGUCAAUUGAGAAAUUUGGUCGUACCUCACGUUUUCAAAUUGGAUGCCAGCUGCACUUAGAAUGCCUGAACCUGCGUUGAUUGAACAUGCAUGACCUGCUUCAGCUAUAUACUUAAGGAUUUACUUACUCAGACUUAAAAGCUGAAUGAUGGUAGCUUAAAAUGUUUAAAAAUUGUACUUUGUGGGGUAAUCUUUCAAGUUGCAUGAUGGUAGUUGAGAAAAGGUUUAGCAUUUCAUUUCUUCGGGGUAGUCUUUCAGGUUGUUUGUCUUUCUUCUGCUGACUUUUAUAAUAAUUAGAGGCGGACCACAAUCUUCGCGAAAAAAUUAGAACGCAAACUUCAUUUUUGUGUAAAGCCUUCGAAGCAUAAUCUUAUUUGUGAAGACCCAGAUGGAGGUUUUAAGCCUACUGGUGAGAAGUGCAGGAACUGAGUUUUAAAAGCAAACCAAAUGCAUGGGCGUACUUCUCUGUAAAGUCUGGAGGAGGUAUUCACGAGUUCUCGGGUUCUCAAUUUGGUUAUCUUCAUAACCUUAGGCGGAGCAUAUACAGCUGCCCUAUCACAGCUAGUUUCCUCUGCGGUUGCUCAAGCUGCUACUGAUUCUAUGUCUGUUUUUGGUAAUGAGCUUCAUCUGAACUUGUAGUUUGGGCCACCAAAUCUUUGUUUAAAGCUGGAGAGAAGAAGAUGGGAACCGAUGAAAAGACUUUCAUCCACAUUUUUUGUAUCGCAAGUAGGGCACAUUUGGCUGUUGUUAGUGCUGCGUAUGAAAUUCACUUAUUGGUGCUUCUGUAAAAUGGGAGGUGGAUCCCUACCGAUCAGAGCUAGUUUUCUUCUUCCAUGGAGCAAACCCAACCCCAUCUUCUUCUUCCAAUGAAGUUUGUGAUUGAGAAUUAAAAGGGAUCUUCAUAGUUGUUAUGUAAAAAUCUCUUUUUUCGUUCAUCUUUCUAGAUCAAAUUCCAAUUUCCAGUUCAUCUUUCUAGGUCAAAAUUCCUAAUCCUCAAUUUUUCUUUUUUCCCAUCCAUGUGAUAAUCGAAAAACAAAUUACUUGUUGGCUGUUGCUGGUAGAGAAGAAGACGACAGAGACAUUGAAAGACAAAGGGGGCAGUGGCAUCACCACGAGGUCUCAUCUUAUCAAACUAAAUGCAAAGCAUCGGUGAGUGACCCUGAUGCCUGAUUUGAUGAUGUUAUGUGACAUGGAGCAGGAAAAUGGAUGGACUGACCUCAAAGAAUACGUGGUGGUAAACAUGGAGUUAACAAUUUGUGGAUGGAAAAUGUAAAAUCAGUGAUUGAGAGGUUUCUUGACGUUCCAAUGAAUGUUUAAACACAAUAUGGGCAGAAAGAAGGAGAUGGUGAAGGAUUUGGGCGACACAGUCAAAUCAGAUGACCAAAGACUUGAUUGGGAAGAUGUGUUUUACAUGUCUGGAGGAGGUAUUCACGAGUUCUCGGAUUCUCAAUUUGCUUAAUACAAUGUCCUGUCAACUUGCGCCCUUACAUGGAUCAUUUUAUUACGCGUGACUUGAUUAUGUCUCUGAAUCAUCGAUUGGAGCUGCUACGGGUGUUAAUUUGAAUUUGCAAGGAGGUCAAUAGGUUCCAGGACUUCGAGAACGAGCUAAAGUUCCAUGGGUAUGAAGGAAUCUGGAAGAUGCGUAUAGGACAAGCAAUUGAUGGAUGUGCGAUUUUUUUGGCACACAACGAGAUUCAAAUUGCGGCACGAAGGAUCCAUAGAGUUCAGAAACCUUGUACUUUGUGAUAUGUUGCACAAAUUUGUGUUCUCGAGUCAAGGAACCAAAACUCCACUGACAAGGUGUCUGCAAAUUUGCCUGCAAGCAUGGAGAGCCUGGUGCUGCGGUGGUAGACUUUCAACCUGUGGAUAUAGUGAUUUCUCAUGUUCUCGACCAAAUAUUGUCAACGGAUUUUCGAUAUCCAUUGUGAAGGCGGAUGAAUCCAUAUUGAAGCAAUUGGAUGCUCCAACUAGGGCUCCUUCAUGGCCAAUUGGUGCUGAUGGUAAGAUUAGAGGAUCAUCUUGUGAUUAUAUGUUUUUAUCUGCUGUCCCUUAUCAAGGGUAUGUGCUAUGUUAAAUGCCACUGCGAUUUGGUAGGAACUAAAACUUCUUGUGACUUUAUGUGUUGUGAUACCAUCUUUACCACUAAAUACUCCUAAUGUUUUAUUUUACUCUGAGCUUAUUAGCAAUAUUGUGACUUCUGAGUAAGCAUCCGUUCUGGAUGGUCAUGA
Papaver somniferum (opium poppy) is the source of this 3483-nucleotide RNA transcript. RefSeq lists it as uncharacterized. The transcript is spliced from 24 exons. NCBI's taxonomy places the organism in Eukaryota, Viridiplantae, Streptophyta, Magnoliopsida, Ranunculales, Papaveraceae. The record is from RefSeq and is a predicted model, not a curated record.